Molecule: ribosomal RNA, 428 nt
Filed under: Clostridioides difficile
Lineage: Bacteria; Bacillati; Bacillota; Clostridia; Peptostreptococcales; Peptostreptococcaceae
Description: bacterial LSU rRNA
Rfam family: Bacterial large subunit ribosomal RNA
Source: RNAcentral
UCCUGUACUACCGAUAACCGUUUGAGAGAAGGGAUGACACAGUAGGAUAAGCUAAGCACACUGUUGGUUAUGUGUGCCCAAGCAUUGAGGCAGUCAAAGUAGGCAAAUCCGCUUUGAUAAUGCUGGGGUGUGAUGGGGAGCGAAAUUUAGUAGCGAAGUAGCUGAUUUCACACUGUCAAGAAAAGUCUCUAUCGAGGUUAAAGGUACCCGUACCGCAAACCGACACAGGUGGGGGAGGAGAGUAUCCUAAGGCCAGCCAGAGAACUGUUGUUAAGGAACUAGGCAAAAUGACCCCGGAACGUAGGGAUAAGGAGAGCCACCAACAGGUGGCCGCAGAGAACAGGCGCAAGAGACUGAUUACCAAAAACAUAGGUUUCUGCUAAGUCGCAAGACGAUGUAUAGGAGCUGACGCCUGCCCGGUGCUGGAA